GAUGAACGCUGGCGGCGUGCCUAACACAUGCAAGUCGAGCGAGGGUUUGCUCAGUAUUGAGUAUUCUAAGACUAGAAUGUUCAAUUCUGAGCAAAACCAAGCGGCGGACGAGUGAGUAACGCGUGGGUAACCUGCCCUAUACACAUGGAUAACAUACUGAAAAGUUUACUAAUACAUGAUAAUAUAUAUUUGCGGCAUCGCAGAUAUAUCAAAGUGUUAGCGGUAUAGGAUGGACCCGCGUCUGAUUAGCUAGUUGGUGAGAUAACUGCCCACCAAGGCGACGAUCAGUAGCCGACCUGAGAGGGUGAUCGGCCACAUUGGAACUGAGACACGGUCCAAACUCCUACGGGAGGCAGCAGUGGGGAAUAUUGCACAAUGGGCGAAAGCCUGAUGCAGCAACGCCGCGUGAACGAUGAAGGUCUUCGGAUCGUAAAGUUCUGUUGCAGGGGAAGAUAAUGACGGUACCCUGUGAGGAAGCCCCGGCUAACUACGUGCCAGCAGCCGCGGUAAUACGUAGGGGGCUAGCGUUAUCCGGAUUUACUGGGCGUAAAGGGUGCGUAGGUGGUCCUUCAAGUCGGUGGUUAAAGGCUACGGCUCAACCGUAGUAAGCCUCCGAAACUGGAGAACUUGAGUGCAGGAGAGGAAAGUGGAAUUCCCAGUGUAGCGGUGAAAAUGCGUAGAUUUGGUGAGGAACACCAUUAGCGUAGGGGGCUUUUUGGGACUGGCAACUGACACUGUGGGCACGAUAGCGUGUGUGCAGACUGG
This 765-nucleotide ribosomal RNA is filed under the name uncultured Peptostreptococcus sp. Its description in RNAcentral is "bacterial SSU rRNA". It matches the Rfam family "Bacterial small subunit ribosomal RNA", at positions 28 to 776 of the family's 1533-position model. Lineage: Bacteria; Bacillati; Bacillota; Clostridia; Peptostreptococcales; Peptostreptococcaceae. The record is from RNAcentral.